AGCUCAUCCCUUGAACAGCAGAGUUCUGCCCCGGGUGUUAGAGGAAACACUCAGGGGCCAGAGGUCCUUGGAGCGAGUCCCAGGAGCAGCGGAGACCCCAGGGGCCGCAGGAGACACCCGGGGGCCGGAGGUCUUUGGAGCAAGUCCCAGGAACAGCAGAGACCCAGGGGCCGCAGGAGACGCCCGGGGGCCAGAGGUCCUUGGAGCGAAUCCCAGGAGCAGCGGAGACCCCAGGGGCCGGAGGGCCUUGGAGCGAUCCCAGGGGCAGCGGAGGCUCCUGGCAGUGCAGAUGCUUUGGGGGCGCAGCUCGGUAACAGAGGGGUUUGCAGUGAAUCCACCAGCCUGGAGACCCC
Long non-coding RNA from Gopherus flavomarginatus (Mexican gopher tortoise), 353 nucleotides. RefSeq lists it as uncharacterized. NCBI's taxonomy places the organism in Eukaryota, Metazoa, Chordata, Testudines, Testudinidae. The transcript is spliced from 3 exons. The record is from RefSeq and is a predicted model, not a curated record.